UACGAAGGGUGCAAGCGUUACUCGGAAUUACUGGGCGUAAAGCGUGCGUAGGUGGUGAGUUAAGUCUGUCGUGAAAGCCCCGGGCUCAACCUGGGAAUGGCGAUGGAUACUGGCUCGCUAGAGUGCGGUAGAGGAGAGUGGAAUCCCGGUGUAGCAGUGAAAUGCGUAGAGAUCGGGAGGAACACCAGUGGCGAAGGCGGCUACCUGGACCAGCACUGAGCACUGAGGCACG
Molecule: ribosomal RNA, 232 nt
Filed under: uncultured bacterium
Lineage: Bacteria
Description: partial 16S ribosomal RNA
Rfam family: Bacterial small subunit ribosomal RNA
Source: RNAcentral